AAUGUGAAUUGCAGAAUUCAGUGAAUUCAUCGAAUCUUUGAACGCACAUUGCGCCCUGUGGUAUUCCGCAGGGCAUGCCUGUUCGAGCGUCAUUUAACCACUCACGCUUAGCGUGGUAUUGGAGCACGCGGUCUCGCGGCCCUCAAAAUUAGUGGCGGCGCCGGUGGGCUCUAAGCGUAGUACAUACUCCCGCUAUAGAGUUUCUCCGGUGGCUCGCCAGAACCCCCAAUUUUUUACAGGUUGACCUCGGAUCAGGUAGGGAUACCCGCUGAACUUAAGCAUAUCAAUAAGCGGAGGAAAAGAAACCAACAGGGAUUACCUCAGUAACGGCGAGUGAAGCGGUAACAGCUCAAAUUUGAAAGCUGCCAACAGGCCGCGUUGUAAUUUGUAGAAGCUGCUUUGGGUGUCGGCCCGGUCUAAGUUCCUUGGAACAGGACGUCAUAGAGGGUGAGAAUCCCGUAUGUGAUCGGUGCCGUUGCCCGUGUAAAGCGCUUUCGACGAGUCGAGUUGUUUGGGAAUGCAGCUCAAAAUGGGUGGUAAAUUUCAUCUAAAGCUAAAUAUUGGCCAGAGACCGAUAGCGCACAAGUAGAGUGAUCGAAAGAUGAAAAGCACUUUGGAAAGAGAGUUAAACAGUACGUGAAAUUGUUGAAAGGGAAGCGCUUGCAACCAGACUUGCGGGCGGUCGAUCAUCCGAGGUUCUCCCCGGUGCACUCGAUCGUUCUCAGGCCAGCAUCGGUUUCCGGGGUGGGAUAAAGGCGGUGGGAAUGUGGCUCUUCGGAGUGUUAUAGCCCACCGUGCAAUGCCGCCACUGGGGACCGAGGACCGCGCUUCGGCUAGGAUGCUGGCGUAAU
This 851-nucleotide ribosomal RNA is filed under the name uncultured Helotiales. Its description in RNAcentral is "eukaryotic LSU rRNA". The stretch from base 242 to 851 matches the Rfam family "Eukaryotic large subunit ribosomal RNA", at positions 1 to 635 of the family's 3401-position model. Lineage: Eukaryota; Fungi; Ascomycota; Leotiomycetes; Helotiales. The record is from RNAcentral.